This 216-nucleotide ribosomal RNA is filed under the name Etropus crossotus. RNAcentral's name for it is "partial small subunit ribosomal RNA". The record is from RNAcentral. Lineage: Eukaryota; Metazoa; Chordata; Actinopteri; Pleuronectiformes; Cyclopsettidae.
GUCGGUAAAACUCGUGCCAGCCACCGCGGUUAUACGAGAGGCUCAAGUUGAUAGACAGCGGCGUAAAGAGUGGUUAGGGAAAACCCAAACUAAAGUCGAACGCUUACACAGCUGUUAUACGCACCCGAGAGUAUGAAGCCCAACUACGAAAGUGACUUUAAAACACCUGAACCCACGAAAGCUAAGGAACAAACUGGGAUUAGAUACCCCACUAUG